Molecule: ribosomal RNA, 432 nt
Filed under: Oxybelis sp.
Lineage: Eukaryota; Metazoa; Chordata; Lepidosauria; Squamata; Colubridae
Description: partial 16S ribosomal RNA
Rfam family: Bacterial large subunit ribosomal RNA
Source: RNAcentral
CAAAGGUAGCAUAAUCACUUGUCUACUAAUUAUAGACCUGUAUGAAAGGCAAAAUGAGGGUCUAGCUGUCUCUUAUAAUCAAUCAAUAAAACUGAUCUCCCAGUAAAAAAGCUGGAAUUCCCACAUAAGACCAGAAGACCCUGUGAAGCUUAAACUAAACUAUUAAACCAAAUAAUAGCUACUUUAGGUUGGGGCGACCUUGGAAAUAAAAAGAACUUCCAAAAAUAUGAACUCCUCAUACCACACCAGGCCCACAAGCCACUUAAACGACCCAGCCACGGCUGACCAUUGAACCAAGUUACUCCAGGGAUAACAGCGCAAUCUUCUUCAAGAGCCCAUAUCAAAAAGAAGGUUUACGACCUCGAUGUUGGAUCAGGACAUCCUAAUUGGUGCAGCCGCUAUUAAGGGUUCGUUUGUUCAACGAUUAACAGU